GUGUUGUUGUUAGGAAUGAUGGGUGUUCAAACACCCGGCCACGUCUGGUCUGUGUUAUGUGUGAUGUUUUUUUGCUUUGUAGUUCAUUGGUUAAGUUCUUUUUUACUGAUUUUUAUAGUUCGUCCUUAUGUUGUGAUGUUAUGACGCUGUCUAAGGUUGGCACAUUGAGAUAGGCUUCAGCGCUCACACACAUGAUCAACCCGACUACAUUCUAUAUGUAUGAAUUUUCACACU
RNAcentral lists this long non-coding RNA (234 nucleotides) under Mytilus galloprovincialis (Mediterranean mussel). The record is from RNAcentral. Lineage: Eukaryota; Metazoa; Mollusca; Bivalvia; Mytilida; Mytilidae.